AUUCCAGCUCCAAUAGCGUAUAUUAAAGUUGUUGCAGUUAAAAAGCUCGUAGUUGGACUUCUGGGCCGUUUUGUUGGUCUGCCGCAAGGCUGUACUAGCGGGAUGGCCCAUCCUCUCGAAGGCUGGGGGUGCUCUUAACUGGGUGCUUUCAGAACUCGGGAUCUUUACUUUGAAAAAAUUAGAGUGUUCAAAGCAGGCUUACGCUUGAAUACAUUAGCAUGGAAUAAUGGAAUAGGACUUUGGUUCUAUUUUGUUGGUUUCUAGAACUGAAGUAAUGAUUAAUAGGGAUAGUUGGGGGCAUUAGUAUUUAAUUGUCAGAGGUGAAAUUCUUGGAUUUAUGAAAGACUAACUUCUGCGAAAGCAUUUGCCAAGGAUGUUUUCAUCA
This 385-nucleotide ribosomal RNA is filed under the name Choanoflagellata sp. Its description in RNAcentral is "partial small subunit ribosomal RNA". It matches the Rfam family "Eukaryotic small subunit ribosomal RNA", at positions 582 to 975 of the family's 1831-position model. Lineage: Eukaryota; Choanoflagellata. The record is from RNAcentral.